UCCGGCUUAUCACCGGCAGUCCCACUAGAGUGCCCAACUGAAUGAUGGCAACUAAUGGCGAGGGUUGCGCUCGUUGCGGGACUUAACCCAACAUCUCACGACACGAGCUGACGACAGCCAUGCAGCACCUGUCACCGGUCCAGCCGAACUGAAGGCCCCUCUUUCGAGAGGCCGCGACCGGGAUGUCAAACCUAGGUAAGGUUCUUCGCGUUGCUUCGAAUUGAACCACAUGCUCCACCGCUUGUGCGGGUCCCCGUCAAUUCCUUUGAGUUUUAAUCUUGCGACCGUACUCCCCAGGCGGGAUGCUUAAAGCGUUAGCUGCGCCACUGACGGGUAAACCCGCCAACGGCUAGCAUCCAUCGUUUACGGCGUGGACUAC
This 379-nucleotide unclassified non-coding RNA is filed under the name uncultured Alphaproteobacteria bacterium. Its description in RNAcentral is "contains 16S-23S intergenic spacer region". Lineage: Bacteria; Pseudomonadati; Pseudomonadota; Alphaproteobacteria. The record is from RNAcentral.